CCUACGGGUGGCAGCAGUGGGGAAUAUUGGACAAUGGGGGGAACCCUGAUCCAGCCAUGCCGCGUGUGUGAAGAAGGCCCUCGGGUUGUAAAGCACUUUCAGUGAGGAAGAACGCCUGGUGGUUAAUACCCAUCAGGAAAGACAUCACUCACAGAAGAAGCACCGGCUAACUCCGUGCCAGCAGCCGCGGUAAUACGGAGGGUGCGAGCGUUAAUCGGAAUUACUGGGCGUAAAGCGCGCGUAGGUGGCUUGAUAAGCCGGUUGUGAAAGCCCCGGGCUCAACCUGGGAACGGCAUCCGGAACUGUCAAGCUAGAGUGCCGGAGAGGAAGGUAGAAUUCCAGGUGUAGCGGUGAAAUGCGUAGAGAUCGGGAGGAAUACCAGUGGCGAAGGCGGCCUUCUGGACUGACACUGACACUGAGGUGCGAAAGCGUGGGUAGCAAACAGGAUUAGAUACCCGUGUAGUC
This 465-nucleotide ribosomal RNA is filed under the name Vreelandella stevensii. RNAcentral describes it as "partial 16S ribosomal RNA". It matches the Rfam family "Bacterial small subunit ribosomal RNA", at positions 338 to 795 of the family's 1533-position model. Lineage: Bacteria; Pseudomonadati; Pseudomonadota; Gammaproteobacteria; Oceanospirillales; Halomonadaceae. The record is from RNAcentral.